AGAGUUGAUCUGGCUCAGGAUGAACGCUGGCGGCGUGCUUAACACAUGCAAGUCGAACGGACCCAUAUUAGAAACCUAGUGAUAUAGUGGGUUAGUGGCGGACGGGUGAGUAACGCGUGGGUAACCUGCCUACACGAGGGGAUAACACUUAGAAAUAGGUGACUAAACCGCAUAAGCGCACAGCUUCGCAUGAAGCGGUGUGAAAAACUCCGGUGGUGUAAGAUGGACCCGCGUCUGAUUAGCUUGUUGGCGGGGUAACGGCCCACCAAGGCGACGAUCAGUAGCCGGCCUGAGAGGGCGGACGGCCACAUUGGGACUGAGACACGGCCCAGACUCCUACGGGAGGCAGCAGUGGGGAAUAUUGCACAAUGGGGGAAACCCUGAUGCAGCGACGCCGCGUGAGUGAAGAAGUAAUUCGUUACGUAAAGCUCUAUCGGCAGGGAAGAAACACUGACCUUACGGUCAGCAGACGGUACCUGAGUAAGAAGCCCCGGCUAACUACGUG
This 505-nucleotide ribosomal RNA is filed under the name uncultured Lachnospiraceae bacterium. Its description in RNAcentral is "bacterial SSU rRNA". It matches the Rfam family "Bacterial small subunit ribosomal RNA", at positions 8 to 507 of the family's 1533-position model. The record is from RNAcentral. Lineage: Bacteria; Bacillati; Bacillota; Clostridia; Lachnospirales; Lachnospiraceae.